GUACGGGAGGCAGCAGUGGGGAAUUGUUCGCAAUGGGCGCAAGCCUGACGACGCAACGCCGCGUGGAGGAUGAAGAUCUUCGGGUCGUAAACUCCUUUCGAUCGGGACGAACGGCCUCCGGGUGAACAAUCCGGGGGAGUGACGGUACCGAGAGAAGAAGCCCCGGCUAACUCCGUGCCAGCAGCCGCGGUAAUACGGGGGGGGCAAGCGUUGUUCGGAAUUACUGGGCGUAAAGGGCUCGUAGGCGGCCAACUAAGUCAGACGUGAAAUCCCCCGGCUUAACCGGGGAACUGCGUCUGAUACUGGAUGGCUUGAAUCCGGGAGAGGGAUGCGGAAUUCCAGGUGUAGCGGUGAAAUGCGUAGAUAUCUGGAGGAACACCGGUGGCGAAGGCGGCAUCCUGGACCGGCAUUGACGCUGAGGAGCGAAAGCCAGGGGAGCAAACGGGAUUAGAUACCCCGGUAGC
RNAcentral lists this ribosomal RNA (464 nucleotides) under uncultured bacterium. Its description in RNAcentral is "bacterial SSU rRNA". It matches the Rfam family "Bacterial small subunit ribosomal RNA", at positions 339 to 794 of the family's 1533-position model. The record is from RNAcentral.